This is a long non-coding RNA of Macadamia integrifolia, 1047 nucleotides long. RefSeq lists it as uncharacterized. The transcript has 3 exons. Lineage: Eukaryota; Viridiplantae; Streptophyta; Magnoliopsida; Proteales; Proteaceae. The record is from RefSeq and is a predicted model, not a curated record.
AGAGGUUGUGAGUCUAUUUGCGGGACAAACACGAGUUAUCAAUGGAGGCUCUUGACUUGAUGAUUGAUUUGUGGCCACUGUUGCAAAAAAUUCCAAAGACUAGGACUGGCUCCAGUCCAUCCCUUCUGGGAUCUUGCAAAAGUUGGACUCACACCAAGAUAGCAUUACUGGGCCCCUGCUGAUUGCAUUCCCCAAGGCAGGGAACCAUGUCAGGGGAUGGAGCUGAACUUGGGCAUCUAAGCAGUUGGACCUUCAGGACAAGUUUCGAAGGUGUCCUACCAAGGAUGAGGAUUUUUUUUCCAGAAAAUUUUCCGAGGCUUGAAAAUCUGCAAUCCAAAUGGUAAGUUUCUAGAGCCUUUAUAGAAAUCCUUUUGGAACAAUAAAGUUUGUAAAAUGUUGGCUGGGGGUGCCACCCACAUAAGCCUUGCUGGUUGCUCAUAUAUCUGUACCAUGUGGAAGUAUUAUAUUCCAUUCUGACUAUCGGAUAUCUUGUCAAUGGCCUGGAUUGCCCCCACAUGUCAAAUUUAAGCCUAAAAUUCAAUCAUUUACUCUACGUACCCUCCCAUGUAUGUCCAUGCAUGAUGCAACUCCUCAGUGGUCCAUGCACCCUUUUGGUAGUUCCAGAUAUUCCACUGCCUAGUUUUGCCACUUGGCUAACUCCAUUUUGGCUCAAACUUGACAUAUGAGCAGGGGGCAUUGGGGUUUAUCUCUCCACCAAAUUUCAGCCCAAUCUGACAUGCCACGUGGUAGGAAUAGGUGAGCCACCCAGCCAACAUUUUCCAGUUAGGAUGUCAUACCCUAAUAUUCUGUUGAUUGAACUGUGUCUAUGAGCCCAAAUUCUAGCACACGAAAGUCGAAGUAUAUACUUUAUUCGGUACAAACUCUUUUUUUUUUUGAGGAUCCGCUGUGAUAAUGAGAAAUAUUUUUGCACCAUACCUUUCCAAUUUUCAUUGGUUGUCUUUUCAAAUUUCCAUAUAUAUUUCAUACUUCAAACAAAAGAAAACUCUGACCCUGUUUCAGUUCUUAGAAUCUUGCUCUCGAGGCAUU